GCCACAUCACGUUAAAACACCGGUUCCCGUACGAUCACCGAAGUUAAGCAAUGUCAAAGCUAGUCUAUACCUAGGUGGGUGACCACUUGGGAAUAUCAAGUGCAGUAA
Acanthosepion pharaonis is the source of this 108-nucleotide non-coding RNA. Lineage: Eukaryota; Metazoa; Mollusca; Cephalopoda; Sepiida; Sepiidae. The record is from the annotation of a GenBank genome assembly.